Molecule: ribosomal RNA, 619 nt
Filed under: Serratia marcescens
Lineage: Bacteria; Pseudomonadati; Pseudomonadota; Gammaproteobacteria; Enterobacterales; Yersiniaceae
Description: bacterial SSU rRNA
Rfam family: Bacterial small subunit ribosomal RNA
Source: RNAcentral
GGGUGAGUAAUGUCUGGGAAACUGCCUGAUGGAGGGGGAUAACUACUGGAAACGGUAGCUAAUACCGCAUAACGUCGCAAGACCAAAGAGGGGGACCUUCGGGCCUCUUGCCAUCAGAUGUGCCCAGAUGGGAUUAGCUAGUAGGUGGGGUAAUGGCUCACCUAGGCGACGAUCCCUAGCUGGUCUGAGAGGAUGACCAGCCACACUGGAACUGAGACACGGUCCAGACUCCUACGGGAGGCAGCAGUGGGGAAUAUUGCACAAUGGGCGCAAGCCUGAUGCAGCCAUGCCGCGUGUGUGAAGAAGGCCUUCGGGUUGUAAAGCACUUUCAGCGAGGAGGAAGGUGGUGAGCUUAAUACGUUCAUCAAUUGACGUUACUCGCAGAAGAAGCACCGGCUAACUCCGUGCCAGCAGCCGCGGUAAUACGGAGGGUGCAAGCGUUAAUCGGAAUUACUGGGCGUAAAGCGCACGCAGGCGGUUUGUUAAGUCAGAUGUGAAAUCCCCGGGCUCAACCUGGGAACUGCAUUUGAAACUGGCAAGCUAGAGUCUCGUAGAGGGGGGUAGAAUUCCAGGUGUAGCGGUGAAAUGCGUAGAGAUCUGGAGGAAUACCGGUGGCGAA